GGGUAAUUUUCCAGCUCUAUCAAGUAAUACUCCAUUUAAUUGCUUAAUUAAGGUUUUUUGUUUCUCUUUUUCGCUCUUUUAUCAGUUCAUUGGCUUUUGAUGUUGGGCUUAAGUAAAUGGGAAAUCAUUAAUGGGCAUUGUUCAAGAUAUAAUUCUGUGUUUUUGGACUUGUGAAACGAUUUGGCUAAUAAAGAGAGUGGUUUUUUGUAUAUAGAUUGCACAUAUGUGGGCUGAUCUAUCUUUCCUAAUAAAUUUCCGAUCUGUUUCAGCAAAUCACAGUACAAAGCUAAGGCAAUUAUUCUCGCGGUCUUCGUUUUUAUAAUUUAUUUUCUUAGUGAAGGUGUAAUCAUUGUGUAAUUAUCUUUUUUCUUGAUUCGAUUUCUUUUAUUUCUAUGAUAUUUAAUCGGUGGGAGGCUGUUGCAUACCUUGCAUGCAAUAAGUAUAAAAUUUGAUGUCUUUUUCUGAGCUUUCACAACACCCCCCGCGGCCGCGGGGCCACACGGGGGCCCCCCCCUAACACAAAAAAAGUUAUUUUUAAGUGGAAAUGCUGAGUCUUUUUGUUUACAAAGGAUAUCUCUGAUUUCAGCUUGGGUAUCAGGCCUUCUUAAUUGUCAUCUAUUAAUCUUUCCAUUCAUAGUGAAGCUUAAUUGUCAACCUGUUUUGAGGUGGCCACGUGAACCAUUCUGUGUUUGUCUCUGCAUUCUCUUCUUCUAUUAAGAAAUUACAUUUCCUUUCACAACUUCAACCCAAACCAUUAAGCAAACAAACAUAUUCACGGAGGUAGUUGGUGGUUCAAAUACCAAUUUCAGGCAUCGAUACUCCAACUCUGUAUCAACAUUUUUUGGAUUGCAUAGGUUUUUUUUUUUUUGGAGUUGAUAGUAAUGAAAAAUUUCUUUAGUUUCACAUGUGCUUAUCUAUCAUUGUUACCGGGCAAUAAUUUCUUUAGUGCCCUACAUAUUUUGGCUUAUUAGAUUGGCCUUCAUUUGGUGCUUAUCUGUGAUGUUAAUAAUUGAUGGCGGACUUUCUGGGUUGCAAAUUCUCGAACAGAAUUUCUGACUUGCAAAAUCCAUUACAAAACUGAAGACAUUCCUUCUGUUUUUAACUUUUUACCUCUCCAUUGUUGGUUGUGUCAAAAGUACCAAUUUUGUUGAUUUACAUGAACUUCACAAGACAUCAAC
Non-coding RNA from Malus domestica (apple), 1178 nucleotides. NCBI's taxonomy places the organism in Eukaryota, Viridiplantae, Streptophyta, Magnoliopsida, Rosales, Rosaceae. The record is from RefSeq and is a predicted model, not a curated record.